Ailuropoda melanoleuca (giant panda) is the source of this 104-nucleotide small nuclear RNA. NCBI's taxonomy places the organism in Eukaryota, Metazoa, Chordata, Mammalia, Carnivora, Ursidae. The record is from Ensembl.
UUGCUUCAUUAGCACAUAUGCUAAAAUUAGAACAAUAUAGAGAAAAUUACCAUGGCCCCUGAAUAAGGAUAAAAAUGCAAAUUUGUGAAGCAUUCCAUAUUUUU